UACGAAGGGGGCUAGCGUUGCUCGGAAUCACUGGGCGUAAAGGGUGCGUAGGCGGGUCUUUUAAGUCAGGGGUGAAAUCCCGGGGCUCAACCCCCGGAACUGCCUUUGAUACUGGGUAUCUCGAGUCCGGAAGAGGUAAGUGGAAUUCCGAGUGUAGAGGUGAAAUUCGUAGAUAUUCGGAGGAACACCAGUGGCGAAGGCGGCUCACUGGUCCGGUACUGACGCUGAGGUGCGAAAGCGUGGGGAGCAAACAGG
This 255-nucleotide ribosomal RNA is filed under the name uncultured bacterium. RNAcentral describes it as "partial 16S ribosomal RNA". It matches the Rfam family "Bacterial small subunit ribosomal RNA", at positions 524 to 776 of the family's 1533-position model. The record is from RNAcentral.